UGUAUGUGAAGACUCAAACGGUAAAAUUUUAACAUUUCACUUAACACUAACCAUGUAGAUCUGCCUGCUUCUGCAGUCAGGAAGAUGAUUUUCAUGCUGAAGACACUUUGCAUUAGCAGCUCAUGCUUCAGUGCUCUGGGAGAGUUUAUAGCUCUGUCAGUUUAACACUUCAUGACUGAGAGCUGAUCUACAUGAUCACACAUCAAAAAGCCAUCAUGACUUUAAUCAGCAUCUUCAUCUGGAUGAUCAUCACCUGCACCCCGGUCUCUUUAGGGCGGGUUGUAUUGACUCAGUCUGGAGAUCAGACAGUGCAGGCUGGUAAAACUGUCUCUAUUACCUGUAAACAUGAUCCAGCAAUUGAUUGUUACGAUACAGCCACCAAGAAGAAGGACUGUGUGUCCUGGUAUCAUCAGCUACCUGGAGAAACUCCUAAACUCCUAAUAAUUUGGGCAACAGAGAGCUACUCUGGUGUUCCCUCUAGAAUCAGUGGCAGUCGAGCAGGAAACAAAAUUGACUACACGUUCACUAUUACUGGAGUCCAGCCUGAAGAUUCAGGAGUUUAUUACUGUCAGAGUCAACACUUUCUGAAUAGCACAUUUUCAGUGUUCACACAGUGAGAAAGUGUCAUACAAAAACCUUCUUUAGCUUGACUGCCCCCAGACUACACUGCUGCAGCUGGCCUCUUUAGCAGGUGGUUGAACUCAACAGUUUAUGUGACUGCUUCAUUCUCUCUUUAUAAUGGGUAUAAUAUAGCCUGAAGAUUGAUACACAUAUGAAGAGCAGCACCUGACAUGCCUAUUAAGUAUUAAUCAAAUUUAUCCAUGAGUCAACAGGGUCAUUCUAGUCCAACUCAACUAAGAUCUGCCUGGUCACAUCAAGGGGUUUCCAUGAAACAUUUUAACCAAACAAUACAAUUCAUGCACCCACCCAAAAUUUCAAAGCUGUGUGUCAAAUUGUUUUAGUUCUGAAUUUUUGGUUUAUGUUAAUAGAGUUAAUAUAUUGAAGAAUGUACUUUGUCAGACUGUGCUGUAUGUACAAUACAAAGCAAUGUUGUACAAAAAAUGAGAAGUAUUGUACAGCACUUAUUGAAAUGUGUUGUGUUUAAUUCUGUUUCUUUUCCUCUAGGUAUUGAUAGAAAUGUAAGAUUCUCAAAAUUAAAAUGCCAUGAAUUACACAGGAUAGAUCAUAAAUAAGGCCUAAGCACAUUGGAGCAAGUGCCCUAAAACAAGCUUCCUCAGUAGGGCGUAAGAGAGAAGACAGAUACUUUAUAGGGAGUGAGCGAACUUGUGAACCUUUCAAGGCCAAAAACCGAGAUGGAGAAAUGCCAGCGAUUAUGCUAGAAUGGGUUUGGCACAAUGUUUUUUAAAAAGGAUUCAAACUACACUUGGAGACAGUGGUUCACACAAGACCCUAUUUGAUAGACAUGUGAAGGUCAAUUUGGAUAUAAUGGUGGUUUUGUGAGAUCAGGAGAUGACAAAAAAGAGGUGGGGCGAUGUCACCCCACCUUCACCGAAGGGUACAAAACAUGUGUACAAACUCUGUAUAUCCGGGAGUGUCAUCCAACGGCCUUUGGAAAACAUUCUCCAUGCUCAAGAAAUAAAGGCCCUGCACUUCUGAA
This is a long non-coding RNA of Pygocentrus nattereri (red-bellied piranha), 1618 nucleotides long. RefSeq lists it as uncharacterized. The transcript has 2 exons. Lineage: Eukaryota; Metazoa; Chordata; Actinopteri; Characiformes; Serrasalmidae. The record is from RefSeq and is a predicted model, not a curated record.